RNAcentral lists this ribosomal RNA (2563 nucleotides) under Klebsiella pneumoniae BWH 2. RNAcentral's name for it is "bacterial LSU rRNA". It matches the Rfam family "Bacterial large subunit ribosomal RNA", at positions 377 to 2925 of the family's 2925-position model. Lineage: Bacteria; Pseudomonadati; Pseudomonadota; Gammaproteobacteria; Enterobacterales; Enterobacteriaceae. The record is from RNAcentral.
ACACCAAAAUGCACAGGCUGUGAACUCGAAGAGUAGGGCGGGACACGUGGUAUCCUGUCUGAAUAUGGGGGGACCAUCCUCCAAGGCUAAAUACUCCUGACUGACCGAUAGUGAACCAGUACCGUGAGGGAAAGGCGAAAAGAACCCCGGCGAGGGGAGUGAAAAAGAACCUGAAACCGUGUACGUACAAGCAGUGGGAGCACCUUCGGGUGUGACUGCGUACCUUUUGUAUAAUGGGUCAGCGACUUAUAUUCUGUAGCAAGGUUAACCGUAUAGGGGAGCCGCAGGGAAACCGAGUCUUAACUGGGCGUUAAGUUGCAGGGUAUAGACCCGAAACCCGGUGAUCUAGCCAUGGGCAGGUUGAAGGUUGGGUAACACUAACUGGAGGACCGAACCGACUAAUGUUGAAAAAUUAGCGGAUGACUUGUGGCUGGGGGUGAAAGGCCAAUCAAACCGGGAGAUAGCUGGUUCUCCCCGAAAGCUAUUUAGGUAGCGCCUCGUGAAUUCAUCUUCGGGGGUAGAGCACUGUUUCGGCUAGGGGGUCAUCCCGACUUACCAACCCGAUGCAAACUACGAAUACCGAAGAAUGUUAUCACGGGAGACACACGGCGGGUGCUAACGUCCGUCGUGAAGAGGGAAACAACCCAGACCGCCAGCUAAGGUCCCAAAGUCAUGGUUAAGUGGGAAACGAUGUGGGAAGGCACAGACAGCCAGGAUGUUGGCUUAGAAGCAGCCAUCAUUUAAAGAAAGCGUAAUAGCUCACUGGUCGAGUCGGCCUGCGCGGAAGAUGUAACGGGGCUAAACCAUGCACCGAAGCUGCGGCAGCGACACUAUGUGUUGUUGGGUAGGGGAGCGUUCUGUAAGCCUGCGAAGGUGACCUGUGAGGGUUGCUGGAGGUAUCAGAAGUGCGAAUGCUGACAUAAGUAACGAUAAAGCGGGUGAAAAGCCCGCUCGCCGGAAGACCAAGGGUUCCUGUCCAACGUUAAUCGGGGCAGGGUGAGUCGACCCCUAAGGCGAGGCCGAAAGGCGUAGUCGAUGGGAAACAGGUUAAUAUUCCUGUACUUGGUGUUACUGCGAAGGGGGGACGGAGAAGGCUAUGUUAGCCGGGCGACGGUUGUCCCGGUUUAAGCAUGUAGGCUGGUUGUCCAGGCAAAUCCGGAUAAUCAAGGCUGAGGUGUGAUGACGAGGCACUACGGUGCUGAAGUAACAAAUGCCCUGCUUCCAGGAAAAGCCUCUAAGCAUCAGGUAACAUUAAAUCGUACCCCAAACCGACACAGGUGGUCAGGUAGAGAAUACCAAGGCGCUUGAGAGAACUCGGGUGAAGGAACUAGGCAAAAUGGUGCCGUAACUUCGGGAGAAGGCACGCUGGUGUGUAGGUGAAGUCCCUGCGGAUGGAGCUGAGACCAGUCGAAGAUACCAGCUGGCUGCAACUGUUUAUUAAAAACACAGCACUGUGCAAACACGAAAGUGGACGUAUACGGUGUGACGCCUGCCCGGUGCCGGAAGGUUAAUUGAUGGGGUUAUCCGUAAGGAGAAGCUCUUGAUCGAAGCCCCGGUAAACGGCGGCCGUAACUAUAACGGUCCUAAGGUAGCGAAAUUCCUUGUCGGGUAAGUUCCGACCUGCACGAAUGGCGUAAUGAUGGCCAGGCUGUCUCCACCCGAGACUCAGUGAAAUUGAACUCGCUGUGAAGAUGCAGUGUACCCGCGGCAAGACGGAAAGACCCCGUGAACCUUUACUAUAGCUUGACACUGAACAUUGAGCCUUGAUGUGUAGGAUAGGUGGGAGGCUUUGAAGCGUGGACGCCAGUCUGCGUGGAGCCAACCUUGAAAUACCACCCUUUAAUGUUUGAUGUUCUAACGUUGGCCCCUGACCGGGGUUGCGGACAGUGUCUGGUGGGUAGUUUGACUGGGGCGGUCUCCUCCCAAAGCGUAACGGAGGAGCACGAAGGUUAGCUAAUCCUGGUCGGACAUCAGGAGGUUAGUGCAAUGGCAUAAGCUAGCUUGACUGCGAGCGUGACGGCGCGAGCAGGUGCGAAAGCAGGUCAUAGUGAUCCGGUGGUUCUGAAUGGAAGGGCCAUCGCUCAACGGAUAAAAGGUACUCCGGGGAUAACAGGCUGAUACCGCCCAAGAGUUCAUAUCGACGGCGGUGUUUGGCACCUCGAUGUCGGCUCAUCACAUCCUGGGGCUGAAGUAGGUCCCAAGGGUAUGGCUGUUCGCCAUUUAAAGUGGUACGCGAGCUGGGUUUAGAACGUCGUGAGACAGUUCGGUCCCUAUCUGCCGUGGGCGCUGGAGAAUUGAGGGGGGCUGCUCCUAGUACGAGAGGACCGGAGUGGACGCAUCACUGGUGUUCGGGUUGUCAUGCCAAUGGCACUGCCCGGUAGCUAAAUGCGGAAGAGAUAAGUGCUGAAAGCAUCUAAGCACGAAACUUGCCCCGAGAUGAGUUCUCCCUGAGACUUUAAGUCUCCUGAAGGAACGUUAAAGACGAUGACGUUGAUAGGCCGGGUGUGUAAGCGCAGCGAUGCGUUGAGCUAACCGGUACUAAUGAACCGUGAGGCUUAACCUU